This 1005-nucleotide ribosomal RNA is filed under the name Triticum aestivum (bread wheat). RNAcentral's name for it is "partial small subunit ribosomal RNA". Lineage: Eukaryota; Viridiplantae; Streptophyta; Magnoliopsida; Poales; Poaceae. The record is from RNAcentral.
AUGGCCCCGGCCCCGCCCCACUCCAGCCACGGCAGUUUUUUCUACUACUGUGAGUGUGUGUGCAGUCCACCGGCCCCCUCCUCUGCUUCAGAUCCCGUGCAACCUUCCGAUGCAGUUCGUCGCACCAACCCCCUGCAGCUCUCUCCUCCCCAAUCCAUGGACCCCGCGCCGGAUCCGGGUUCUUCCCUCGUGCAUCGUCCUCUUCUCGCACCGAUCCCCGCCAUGGUCGCGCGGAUCCCCGAGAGUUCGAGGUGUGCCACCCCCGCCGUGGUCCUGCCUACUUCCCCUCCUUCCCUGCUACACCAGCAGGGCGUCGGUCACAGGAUCUGCCUCCCCCUAUUUGCAGCUCCUUUGUUUCUUUUUUGCAGCUCGCUAAGUAUAAUUUUGAAGUUCAGUGAGAUCCAUGCGCGCCGGAUCACGCGUUGCCGACCCCCCUGCAUGCCUCCUCGCAUGCGAGGUGCUGUGCUGUGUAGGGAGGUGUCUACACCAGCGUCGGCGCCCGUCCACCAUGUUGUUGCAUUUAAUUGCUUGUCCAGCUCUCUUAUGUCCCCGUCAUCGCCCACAUCGGAGGCUCUGCCAUCGCUGGAUCCCGGCAUCCCCGGGCCCUGCAGGAGGGAUACCGACAUCAACGUCCCCUUCCCUGACCAUCUAGAAGGAGGUGGUCGUCCCUGUCUGUCGCUGCAGUCCGCACGGUGGGCGUCCGCAGCACAUCGCCGACAAAGGUGGAUCCAAGGGGCACCCGUGCAGUCCACUGCGUGGGUGCACGCAGCAUGCCGGCACUCCCCUUUGCAGUCCAUAAUGUGGGUUCAGCCCAUAGCGGCAUGCAGCUCUGCCCAUGGGCAUAUGAAGUACGCUAUGACGAGCAUGUAUACAUGGUUUCGGGAGCAAAACAUCAGCGUGCGAUUCAGUGUUUUUUUGCUGCAGUUCACUACUCAUUCGUACCACUUUACUCUUUUUUUAAUGGGAAUCUUCGGUGCAAUGAAUUAUUCUAUCCGCUAUUUUUGA